UACGUAGGUGACAAGCGUUAUCCGGAAUUACUGGGCGUAAAGCGUACGCAGGCGGCGCGGUAAGUCUGAUGUGAAAUCUCCCGGCUUAACUGGGAGGGGUCAUUGGAAACUGCCGAGCUUGAGGCGAUGAGAGGGGUGUAGAAUUCCCGGUGUAGUGGUGGAAUGCGUAGAUAUCGGGAGGAAUACCAGUGGCGAAAGCGGCACCCUGGCAUUAGCCUGACGCUCAUGUGCGAAGGCGUGGGGAGCGAACGGG
RNAcentral lists this ribosomal RNA (253 nucleotides) under uncultured bacterium. RNAcentral describes it as "partial 16S ribosomal RNA". It matches the Rfam family "Bacterial small subunit ribosomal RNA", at positions 524 to 776 of the family's 1533-position model. The record is from RNAcentral.